GACGAGCGCUGGCGGCGUGCUUAACACAUGCAAGUCGAACGGAAAGGCCCUGCUUUUGUGGGGUGCUCGAGUGGCGAACGGGUGAGUAACACGUGAGUAACCUGCCCUUGACUUUGGGAUAACUUCAGGAAACUGGGGCUAAUACCGGAUAGGAGCUCCUGCUGCAUGGUGGGGGUUGGAAAGUUUCGGCGGUUGGGGAUGGACUCGCGGCUUAUCAGCUUGUUGGUGGGGUAGUGGCUUACCAAGGCUUUGACGGGUAGCCGGCCUGAGAGGGUGACCGGCCACAUUGGGACUGAGGUACGGCCCAGACUGCUACGGGAGGCAGCAGUGGGGAAUAUUGCACAAUGGGCGGAAGCCUGAUGCAGCAACGCCGCGUGCGGGAUGACGGCCUUCGGGUUGUAAACCGCUUUCGCCUGUGACGAAGCGUGAGUGACGGUAAUGGGUAAAGAAGCACCGGCUAACUACGUG
Molecule: ribosomal RNA, 468 nt
Filed under: uncultured bacterium
Lineage: Bacteria
Description: partial 16S ribosomal RNA
Rfam family: Bacterial small subunit ribosomal RNA
Source: RNAcentral